UUGCUGAGGUACCCCCGAAGCAUGUGUUGUCGCCCCGAUGAAAUAUUCUUAGACUAGGUCCCUUAUGUUAGUUGUUUUAGGGACAUUAAAGUGAGAAUAACGGGAAUGGGUAAUUGGGUUAUUGUUGGUUGGUGAAAAUUAAAUAUGAUAUUUAUUGUGGGUUGAAAACCCUAUAUGCUCACCAGGCUCCCAAGCCUGACCCACUCAGUUUUAAAUUGUAUUACAGGUAGUGGCGGAAGGGCAUGAGAUGGAUGAACCAUCAAGUUGUUUUGUUUACAAGUCUGCAUAUGUUUAUAUUUGUUAUAUGACUUGUAAUGUAUUCGUUUAUGCUUAUUGGUCUGUAUCGGAACAUGACACCCCGAGUUUUGAUUAUAAUGAAAAUACAUUUCUUUUAUGAAAUGCUUCGGUAAACAAUGUUUUAUCAUGUUUUGUUUUUGGGAACAAAUUCCGCAACUCUUUCAAAUCAAAAGGAUUUACUCUGAAAAUAUUUAAAAGCAUAAAUGAAAAUCGGUCUUUUCUGGCCGAGAUUUUGGGGAUGUCACAGUUGGUAUCAGAGCAUUAGUUUAAGCGAACUAGGAAUUUGUAGGAUUUCUAGACUUAAACUUAGAAUGCUAAGUGAAGUUUUGAGAUGUGUGUCUGUUGUGUUUUAGACACGAGCACUAGUUUAUUUUAGGAAAGUUGCCUAAAAUGCUUUAUGUGCUAAAUGUUAUAUGUUGCCAUAUAUGAUAUUAUUUGUUCGGAUCUAUGGUCUGUUGCCGACCGGAUCUAGAAACCUUAUGUGUGUAGGAUUCUAAGCGUACGUCUACGAUAUUAGAACUAGCAUGUAAACGUUUCGGAGUGAUAAGGAUGAUUUGAAUAUCUAUCAUGAUUGAGGAUCUAAUUUCACCUUAUUCGGGGUGUAGAUCAAAAUGGUGAGAACAAGAAGUGGAGUUGGAAAUGCUGACGAAAACAGGAAUCAACCACCAGUGAUUGAGCCAAUACCUGUCGUAGCAGCAGCACCUGAGCCAAUAACCAUGGCUGGUGUGCAAUUGAUGAUUCAGACGAUGUUGGAUCGUCAGAUGGAUGAAACUAGACGGUUGCUUCAACAAAAUCGUGAAGAACUGUCGAUUCGUGUGGAAGAGCCUGAAUUAAAUGAAGGGCACUCGGAAGGUGGAAACUUCAGUGGGUCUGUUGGUCCAGCCAACCCACCGAUAGUUAGGCAAGAUAACCAUGAAGGAAGGAAUGAUGGAAUGGGAUGCAAGUACAAGGACUUUUUGACUUGCAAACCAUCGACCUUCAAUGGAAAGGAGGAUCCGAUUGGGGUUAUGGAUUGGAUCUCCGAAAUGGAGUUAGCCUUUAUGACAUGUGGCUGCAGAGGUAAGUUGCAGACUAUCUAUGCCGUGCGACAAUUCCGAGGUGGAGCCGUUCGUUGGUGGAACACUCUAGGGAAGACCUUAAGCCCUAAUGAGCCACUGCAAUUGUCAUGGGCAGAGUUCUUGGUGCAGUUCAAGCGCAAGUUCUGCUCGGCUCAAAAUCUGUUGGAGUUGGAGAAUAAGUUUUUGACAUUGACGAAGGGUAGCAUGUCAGUUGAUGAAUACACCAAUAACUUCACCGAUAAGAUGGAGUUUGCCUUGCGUAUCGUUCCAGACGAGCUGACAAAGGUGGAUCGGUAUGCGAAGGGACUUCCAUGGGAGUACGAGGUGCCGGUACGUCAGGCACUUACUCUAGAGGCAGCUAUCUGGGCUGCCAAGUCUGUGGAGAACAUGAUCAAGGGGAGAACCACCGUCAAGGUUGAGGUUGGUGAGAAAAGGAAGUUUGAAGGAACAUCUGGUUCCAGUAAGAAGAGCAAAUUUUCGAAAUCUGAUUCGAAAAAGUUUGGAGGAAAAGGAGGCGAAGCAAAGUGGUGUGAUAAGUGUAAGAAAAAGCACUUUGGGAAAUGUAGCGAGGAUGUGACCUGCUACAAGUGUGGAAAGGUUGGACAUUUUGCCAAUGAAUGUCCGAACAACAAAAGGAUGUGUUUUGGUUGUAAUGAAGAGGGGCAUAUUUUGAAAGACUGUCCGAAGAAGAAGGAGGCAGCUAGGCCCAACAUUCCACCAAAGCCGAAGGCGAGAGCCUUCCAGAUGACACUUGAGGCUGCGAAAGAUGAAGCUGAUGUCGCUUCAGGUACCUUUCUCGUAAACGAAUUACCUGCUCAUAUAUUGUUUGAUUCUGGAGCCAACUACUCCUUUAUUUCGCAUGAGUUUGGUAGAAAGCUAGCUUUGCCUGUUGAUAGACUAAAUAAUGCUUUAUUAGUCGAAGUAGCUAGUGGCAAGUUUGUACCUGUUAGCCAUCGUAUGAAAAACGUCUUGAUCGACCUUAAUGGGAAUAAGUUUCUCGAGGAAUUAUUGCCUAUCGAACUAAAUGGUUUCGACAUCGUCUUGGGAAUGGAUUGGCUUAGCGCCAAUGAUGCCGAAAUUUUGUGCAAGAAGAAGAUAGUUAAAGUAAACCCGCCUGGAAAAGAUUCGUUUAUGGUGUAUGGGGACAAACGCAGAGUGAAUUCUGGAAUCAUUUCUCUAAUGAAAGCCAGAAAGUGUUUGACCAAGGGAUGUACAUCAUAUUUAGCAUUCGUGAUUGAUGCUAAGAAAGAAAAGAAGGUGAUGCAGAGCAUUCCAGUGGUGUGUGAUUAUCCGGAAGUAUUUCCCGAGGAUCUUCCUGGAUUACCACCUGAUAGACAAGUGGAGUUCAGAAUAGACUUGUUACCAGGAACCACGCCAAUAGCAAAAGCACCUUAUCGAUUAGCACCGACGGAGAUGAAGGAGCUAAUGAUGCAACUUCAGGAGUUAUUGGACAAAGGUUUCAUUAGACCUAGUUCAUCGCCCUGGGGAGCUCCGGUGUUAUUUGUAAAGAAGAAAGAUGGAAGUAUGAGAAUGUGCAUCGAUUACAGAGAGCUGAACAAGGCAACAAUAAAGAAUAGAUAUCCGUUGCCGAGGAUUGAUGACCUGUUUGAUCAAUUGCAAGGUUCGAGCUAUUUCUCGAAGAUCGAUCUUAGGUCAGGAUAUCAUCAGCUGAAAGUAAGAGAGCAAGAUAUCGAGAAGACUGCAUUCAGAACUAGAUAUGGACACUACGAGUUCUUGGUUAUGUCGUUUGGACUAACCAAUGCUCCAGCAGCGUUCAUGGAUUUGAUGAAUAGGGUUUGUAAUCCUUUCCUUGAUAAAUCCGUGAUAGUGUUCAUAGACGACAUUCUGAUCUACUCGAAAAGCCAGGAGGAGCAUGGCAGACACUUGCGAGAAGUGUUAGAAGUUUUGAAGAAGGAGAAGCUUUAUGCGAAGUUCUCCAAAUGUGAUUUUUGGAUUCGUGAAGUCCAAUUCUUGGGUCACGUGGUCAACCAAGAAGGGAUAAUGGUUGAUCCAGCGAAGAUCGAAGCUGUGACGAAGUGGGAACAACCGAAAAGUCCCACGGAGAUUCGAAGCUUUUUAGGAUUAGCCGGAUAUUACCGAAGGUUUAUCCAAGGCUUUUCUUCGAUUGCUACUCCAUUAACAGCUUUGACCCACAAAGGAGCUACUUAUGCUUGGAGUGAGAAGCAUAAAGAAGCAUUCGAGAAGUUAAAGAAGAAGCUAUGCGAGGCACCGAUACUUUCUCUACCCGAUGGAGUUGAAGACUUCGCUGUUUAUAGCGAUGCGUCUGGUGUUGGAUUGGGUUGUGUUUUGACCCAAAGAGAAAAGGUGAUAGCAUAUGCGUCUCGACAGCUGAAAGAGCAUGAAAAGAAUUACCCGACUCAUGAUUUGGAGUUGGCAGCGGUAGUUUUCGCUCUGAAAAUAUGGAGGCAUUACCUCUAUGGCACGAAGUGCAAACUUUUCACUGAUCAUAAGAGUCUCCAAUACCUCUUUAAUCAGAAAGAAUUGAAUAUGAGGCAACGACGCUGGCUAGAAUUACUUAAAGACUACGACUGCGAGAUACUUUACCACCCCGGUAAAGCUAAUGUUGUUGCUGAUGCUCUCAGUCGGAAGGUCAAUCUUGAAAGGAAGAGGCCAAGAGCGUUGAGAAUUGAAGUUGUCUCGACCAUUGUGGAAAGUAUAAAGAAAGCUCAAGAGGAAGCUUCUGAGAAAAAUGACCGAAAGGAGGAACGUUUGGGUAAAACGUUGGUGUUUGGUACUAACGGUCAUGGACUGAAGGUAUUCCAAGAUCGUAUUUGGGUACCUAAGUCAGGAGGAAUUAGAGAUCUUCUGAUGGAAGAAGCUCACAAGACCAUGUACUCGAUUCAUCCGGGUAGCACUAAAAUGUAUAGGGACCUGAAACCCUACUACUGGUGGCCGACGAUGAAGCUUGAUGUUGCAAAGUAUGUGGCCGAGUGUGUGACUUGUGCGAGAGUCAAGACACAACAUCAGAAACCGUACGGGAGUUUAGAACCUUUGCCUGUGCCUAUGGGUAAGUGGGAAGACAUUGCUAUGGAUUUUGUCACUAAACUGCCCAGAACAAAGAAUGGUCACGACAUGAUUUGGGUGGUCGUUGAUCGAUUCACUAAGAGUGCGCAUUUCAUAGCGGCCAGGGAGAAAUGGUCUAUGGAAAAGCUUGCGAAUUCUUACGUGAAGGAAAUUGUGAGGCUUCACGGUGUUCCGUUAACGAUUGUAUCGGAUCGUGAUAGCCGUUUCACCUCAAGGUUUUGGAAAAGUCUACAAGAGGAAAUGGGUACCAAGUUAUGUUUAAGCACAGCUUACCAUCCGCAGACUGAUGGUCAGAGUGAAAGAACAAUACAAACACUUGAAGAUAUGCUGAGAGCAUGUACCUUGGAAUUCCUAGGUAAUUGGGAUGAACAUUUACCGUUGGUAGAAUUUUCCUAUAAUAAUAGUUUUCACUCGAGCAUUAAGAUGGCACCUUAUCAAGCUUUGUAUGGACAGAAGUGUCGUACGCCGUCUUGUUGGCUUGAGGCUGGGGAAAAGCAGUUUAUGGGACCGGAGUUGGUUCAUCAAACUGCUGAAAAGUUGAAAAUAAUUAGGGAAAGAAUGUUAGCAGCUCAAGAUCGUCAAAAGAGCUAUGCUGACAAGAAGCGAAGACCGAUGACUUUUGAGGUUGGAGAUUCGGUUUUGCUUAAAGUCUCGCCGUGGAAGGGACUUAUAAGAUUUGGUAAAAGGGGAAAGUUGAGUCCAAGGUUUAUUGGACCGUUUAGAGUCCUUCAGAGGAUUGGGAAUCAAGCUUACAAGCUCGAAUUACCCGAAGAACUGAAUGGAAUUCACAACACCUUUCAUGUGUGUUAUUUGAGGAAGUUCACGGGAGAAGUUCCCGAUAUAAUUCCAAUUUCUGAAUUGAGAAUUGAUGAGAACAAAAGGUUGAUUGAAGAACCAGAGGCAAUUGUUGACCGAAAGACUAAGAAGUUGCGACGCAAAAUGGUUGGGUUAGUGCUUGUCCGAUGGAAACACACGAAUGGGCCGAAUCUCACCUGGGAGACGGAGAGUGACAUGUUGAGUCGCUAUCCGCAUUUGUUUGUUGAUGUGUGAUUCCGGGGACGGAAUCAUUCUAAGGUGGAGAGAAUUGUAACGCCUGUGUUUCGGGCUUGCCAUUUGUAGCAAUGUAAUAGUCUAGGUUAACCUCUGUAACCCGUUUUGAAAUAAUAAGAUUGUAUUAUUUGAGUAUUGUGUGUUUUGUGCUUAAUUGCUUAAUUAUGUGGUUUGAUUAAUUAAGAAUAAAAAUAAGCGUCAAAAUUUAAGUGUAAAAUAAACUUAAUAUAUUUGGUUAAUGUUGUAGUAGUUGAAACGAGGUUUCCGAAUAUAUAUAGAACGCCCAAAUCUGACUUCGUAUGAGGAAGUUAUGAUUUAUCGAAGUUCCGGCUUAGCGGUAUACAGCCUGUUUUACUCGAUUUGAGAUCGAGCGGUUGUUAGCCGAAGCAAUCUAAAUGAGAAUCGAAGAUCUCAUUGUUGGUAUCGAAGCGAUAAAAAGUUAGGCGAGAACGGACGUCAAACGAAGAAGUUAUGAAUUUAUAACGAAAGUUUCUGUCCCGGCCUAUUAAAAAUAAUUAAUAAAAAUAAAGUCAAAAUUAGCCGACGGAGUCUAAACGAAAGUCGUAGAGCGUGGUCUCACCUUCGCGUGGAUAUAAAGAACGUCGAAAACGGAGUUCGUAUGAAGAAGUUAUGAAUUUCCGAAGUUUAUUAAUCAUUUUGUAUUUAUAUUUAAAUCAAAAUUCGGAAGCAUUAUCCGAAGGAGUCACCGAUCUGAUCCGAGGUACGCCCCGCGUACUCGAGUACGCCCCGCGUACUCCGAGGGAUGUCGACACUCGCACUCGAGCACUUCGGAUACGUAAGCAAUGACGUUUUGGGCAGUACGCCCCGCGUAACGCAGUACGCCCCGCGUACUCCGAGGCUCCAGCCUCCUAUAAAUAGGAUGCGAGGGUUCCGGGUAUUUUUGCCAAUUCCCUCUCGUUUUCGUGUCGAAGCUCUGUGCAAAAACCCCCGAAGCUACCCCGAAGCCCCGGUAUCAUACUCUAGCCCCGAGGCAAGUCCCGAGAUCCCGAAGAUCCCGAAAAGUGCGGUUCCCGAGUCGAAGCUCUGCCCGCGAGAAGUUCGAUUUUCGAGAAGAUCUUCCAGAUCUGCUGUGGAUUACUACUUCUAUAAGUCGUAGUGCUGUCCGAUCAUCUUCUGAUCAAGUGAGUGUGUAGUUAUUUCUUCUAAUACAAUAAUACGAAGUAUUUUAUAUAAAAAUACGUGCUAUGUGUAUAUAUUUGGUUGUGUUAUGUUAUUGGACCGUUUAAAGUUCUUCUAUCUCAUAAAUAUGAUUUAUUCUCUGUGAGAUAUGUGUUAUGUGUGUGUGUGCCUCAUCUGUUAUGUGGAUUAUGUGUUGAUUAAAGCAUGCUAUACAAGUUUUCAAAACUAUGUAUAAAAUGUAUAUUUUAUCUACUAAUAUGUUGGGUAGAACAUGGGUAGAUAGUUGGUGUGUAAUAAACAGAUGAGAGGCCUCGUUGUUGUUUGAUUUAGUCAUCUAGUAGAGUUUAGAUGACGACCAUUGGCUAUUCUAGACAGUCUUGUGGAAACAUUAGCAGGUUCGCCACCUGUAGGUGUUAAUGAACUUGGGUGUUCAUUCGCUGUACUCCAUCCCCCUCAUGGUUGCCUUAUUUGACUUAUAUUGCUGAGGUACCCCCGAAGCAUGUGUUGUCGCCCCGAUGAAAUAUUCUUAGACUAGGUCCCUUGUGUUAGUUGUUUUAGGGACAUAAAGUGAGAAUAACGGGAAUGGGUAAUUGGGUUAUUGUUGGUUGGUGGAAAUUAAAUAUGAUUAUUUAUUGUGGGUUGAAAACCCUAUAUGCUCACCAGGCUCCCAAGCCUGACCCACUCAGUUUUAUUUGUAUUACAGGAAGUGGCGCGAGGGCAUGAGAUGGAUGAACCAUCAGUUGUUUUGUUUACAAGUCUGUAUAUGUAUAUAUUUGUUGAAUGACUUGUAAUGUUAUCGUUUAUGCUUAUUGGUCUGUAUCGGAACAUGACACCCCGAGUUUUGAUUAUAUAAUGAAAAAUACAUUUCUUUUAUGAAAUGCUUUGGUAAACAUUGUUUUAUCAUGUUUUGUUUUUGGGAACAAAUUCCGCAACUCUUUCAAAUCAAAAGGAUUUACUCUGAAAAUAUUUUAAAAGCAUAAAUGAAAAACGGUCUUUUCUGGCCGAGAUUUUGGGGAUGUCACAUAAGUCUACAACGGGAUCGUAGCAUUUACCAAUAUUAGGUAGGCCAUGGUUCGAGUGGUCAGUUCGACCGAGGAAAGAUCAGUUCAUGUCUGGGUUGAGGCAAAUAGUAUUGAUGGAGGACCACUCCUUGAGUAGUAUGAGGAUUGAUGGAUCUGAGGCAAUGAGUGGUUUGUUCGAUUAGGUAGUGUGUGUGAGAUCCGGUAGGUUCAACUGGAG
RNAcentral lists this long non-coding RNA (7829 nucleotides) under Lactuca sativa (garden lettuce). RNAcentral describes it as "long non-coding RNA (LSAT_LNC000262)". The record is from RNAcentral. Lineage: Eukaryota; Viridiplantae; Streptophyta; Magnoliopsida; Asterales; Asteraceae.